Molecule: long non-coding RNA, 206 nt
Filed under: Elaeis guineensis (African oil palm)
Lineage: Eukaryota; Viridiplantae; Streptophyta; Magnoliopsida; Arecales; Arecaceae
Description: long non-coding RNA (EGUI_LNC030390)
Source: RNAcentral
GAUGAAGUUCUCCUCAAGAUUGACAUGGACUCAAAUGAUGCUGCUCAAAUUCCAUGGAUUCUAGGGUUAGGGUUUGGGAGAAAAGAUCUUAGAGCAAGAGAGAUGAGAGAGAAGGAGAAAAUGGAUCACGAGGAGAGGUUAGGCCAUGCUAAACAUAACCUGAUCUAUUUAUUUAACAAAUCAUGCAUGUUGGAUUAGAUUUCCCA